Molecule: ribosomal RNA, 429 nt
Filed under: Pseudomonadota bacterium
Lineage: Bacteria; Pseudomonadati; Pseudomonadota
Description: Proteobacteria bacterium partial 16S ribosomal RNA
Rfam family: Bacterial small subunit ribosomal RNA
Source: RNAcentral
UGGGGAAUAUUGGACAAUGGGCGAAAGCCUGAUCCAGCCAUGCCGCGUGUGUGAAGAAGGUCUUCGGAUUGUAAAGCACUUUAAGUUGGGAGGAAGGGCAGUAAGCGAGUACCUUGCUGUUUUGACGUUACCUACAGACUAAGCACCGGCUAACUCUGUGCCAGCAGCCGCGGUAAUACAGAGGGUGCAAGCGUUAAUCGGAAGUACUGGGCGUAAAGCGCGCGUAGGUGGUACGUUAAGUUGAAUGUGAAAGCCCCGGGCUCAACCUGGGAACUGCAUCGAAAACUGGCGAGCUAGAGUAGGGCAGAGGGUGGUGGAAUUUCCUGUGUAGCGGUGAAAUGCGUAGAUAUAGGAAGGAAAACCAGUGGCGAAGGCGAGCACCUGGGCUCAUACUGACACUGAGGUGCGAAAGCGUGGGGAGCAAACCGG